GAAUUAAAUUGCCUCUGCUCUCUUGUCUUCAGCCAGCCCCAAUGCCAUGCUCCAGCCUUCUGGGAACAGAAUCCAGCACGUCCAACACUUGGCAUUGAAUCGAAGCAACGAAGUCUAGCAGAACUCUGGGCCGUUUAACUGGCAGCUGCUCUGGGGGCUGCCAAGGACUGCUCAUUCUGCACAGCUAAUGGGGUUAGCCAUCACUGCCAGGCCGGCUGCAGCAGCCCCGGCUUUCUGUUGCCUUGGGGACAGAGACAAAGAGCACCAAGAGACCUCAGACAUCUUUUCCUUCAGCAGGCUAUUAGGGAGACACUAUUGUUGAUAGAAUGGACUGAAGGGGAAGGAAGGUUCAAUGGGAAAGGAAGAUCUCUGGUCCCAGGGGUAUGGUGUUCUUGUUUCCCUAUCCCCCUAAUUGUCAUCCCAAAGGUCUGAGUAUUAGUGAUUUGGACAUCUGGCUUGGAUAAUCAUUACUAGAUGCUUAGCCUUAGUGUUUCCAAAUGCUUCUCUUAUAUUGGUUCAGUCAUUACUGCCAUGUGUACUUCAUCCGCCAUGAGGCUCAGUCUUCCCCAGCUCUGUAACCCUGGGGAAUCUUACAGGCAGGUAAUAAAGUCUGUUAAACAGU
Molecule: long non-coding RNA, 622 nt
Filed under: Rattus norvegicus (Norway rat)
Lineage: Eukaryota; Metazoa; Chordata; Mammalia; Rodentia; Muridae
Description: long non-coding RNA NONRATT031177
Source: RNAcentral